Molecule: ribosomal RNA, 408 nt
Filed under: uncultured bacterium
Lineage: Bacteria
Description: bacterial SSU rRNA
Rfam family: Bacterial small subunit ribosomal RNA
Source: RNAcentral
GUGCCAGCAGCCGCGGUAAUACGUAAGUCCCGAGUGUUACCCGGAAUCAUUGGGUGUAAAGGGUUUGUAGGCGGAAAGAUAGGUUGGAUAUUAAAGACCGGGGCUCGACCUCGUGUUUGUGUUCAAAACUGUCUAUCUAGAAUUAGGGAGAGGUAAGCGGAAUUCUAAGUGUAGGAGUGCAAUCCGUAGAUACUUAGAGGAACACCAAAAGCGAAGGCAGCUUACUGGAACUAUAUUGACGCUGAUGAACGAAAGCGUGGGUAGCGAAAAGGAUUAGAUACCCUUGUAGUCCACGCCCUAAACGAUGAUAACUAAGUGUUGGGACUAGAUCUCAGUGCUGAAGCUAACGCAUUAAGUUAUCCACCUGAGGAGUACGGUCGCAAGAUUAAAACUCAAAGGAAUUGACGG